Gallus gallus (chicken) is the source of this 401-nucleotide long non-coding RNA. RefSeq lists it as uncharacterized. NCBI's taxonomy places the organism in Eukaryota, Metazoa, Chordata, Aves, Galliformes, Phasianidae. The transcript has 5 exons. The record is from RefSeq and is a predicted model, not a curated record.
AUCGUCAGAGCCAUUUGCCUCCUUCUGAUCCACUGACCAGCCGCUCAACAUGCAGCCCAAAGGAGUCUCUCUCACCAUGAAGUUCCUGCUGCUGUCCUGCAUUAUGAGCAUGGUCCUCGCUGUCACCAGCGCACAGCUUGACAGCAGCGAAAGCUCUGCUUCAGACAGCUUGGAAGAGCACCCACAAGAAGAAACAGACACUUCUGCUGUUCUCCAGCUCCUGCGACUCCUCAGCAACCCUCGCCGACCUGGUUUGCUGCGAGUCUGAGAUACCUCUCUGGACAACUGAGGCCGCCUCCUACAAAAUACUGCUGCUCCUCGAUCAUCUUCUGCUUCGUUCAGCUCCUUCAUGCCUUUUAUCACCAGCACACUGAAACCACAGAUCAGCAAUGAGGUUCCUG